GAUCAUCAAAGGAACGGAUAAUUCAGCAAGGCAACUAUUUCUGCAUCCUGGGAAGCGCUCAGAACUUCAGAAAGGUCCUUGGAUUUCGCUAUGCCUUCUUCGGAACGCGGAAGACGGAAGGGAACUCUCUUACCUGUAGGCAGGAGAAAGGUGGUGGAGAUUCAGUCUUACCAUUGAAUAGUCUAUCUCACAUUUGAAAAAGAUUGCACGACCAACGGAUAUUGGUGUGAGAGACAUUCUAUGAAGAAGCCAAGGCACACAGUUUGCAUAAGUAGGAGGAAAAUAUGUUGCAGAUUGGACUAUUAACUCCACGUCAACUCACAGCAGUGGUGUGGCAAAUGCAUGGUAUGGUUUCAUAGGACCUGGAGUGGUAGAAUAGAGUUUGCUGUAUAUUAACAGAAGUCCAUCACUGCUAAUCUGAAAACCCUCAGAAGGCAUGACCUCAAUGGAAAUCUUUAAAAUUAAUAGAAUUGUAAAAGGCAUUUAUUUCUUUUUUCAUAUUAUUUUAAAAGAGGAUAUAUUAUUUACUUAUGUAAAGCUGUCACAUAGUAAUCAAUGUGUGGCAAAAAGUAAUUUGAAAGGAUUGAUUGAGGUGAAAAGAGAUUUUUGGUUGGUUUGGGCCUCUCCUUAAAAUUGUGUGAAAUAAUUCCAAGAUCAGUUUUAAAUUAAAAAUGACUGGAAUUUGGGAAAAGCCUUUGUGACUGAUCUUUUCUUGGUGAUCAACAAGACUGAUAUAUCUGGAAGGCCAGAACUAAUGUCUGCCUUGGGGCAGCUGUGCGCUGGCGAGGGCGGACAGGCAGCCAGAAGUCUGAUGACCUUGCGUACCUCACUCACAACUCCUCUCUUCUGACAAGGGGAGCCCCCCUUCCGCUGAAAUGCAGCCAAGUGUGAAAGCCCACCUCUCCACAGGCCGGGCAGGACAAAGGACACCCAGCCAGAGCUGUGGAGAUGGCAAUCAUGAGUCAAACAAGCACAUUUAGGCAUUUAACAGUUUGGGGAGUUUAAUACAGAUUUGAGUAUCCUGAAAAAGAGUGACUUCUGGCUAGACACUGGGCAGCAUAAAUCAAGUACCUCACUGGAGACACAGUGUUGAUAAGGCCACUGUAAUUCACAAAGAGAUACUUUAAAGAAAAAAAGCUACAUAUGAUGUUGUCAUACACUCUCUGCAGAAAUAUCUCUUUGUCUUUUAAUUGUGGAUGCAUUUCUGUUUUAUUAAACAGUAUUGCCUAUUAUUUUAUAUCAUGUGAUAAAUGGCAGUUAAGUAUAAAGAGUUAUUAAAGUUUUUAAAUUGAUAUAAUUCCAUUAUUGUCGCAUUUUCCAGGGCAUAAGAAGUCAGCAUGUCCUCAUUAUUUUUUCUUAAAAUUAAAUUUAUCAGAUAACCUAAGCCUUUAAAGCCAUAUAUCCUAUUUUAAUUAAAAAAAUUUUCUGGUUGUGAUCAUGGUAUAGAAUUAAAUUCCCAUGUAAAAUAUGGGAAGAAGGGAGGUAAGGGGAGGUCAUAUAGUGUUACCUGAUAAAAGGAGACAGUAAUAUUUAAAAUGAGGUAAGUGUUGCAUCGAUUUAUGAUGUAUUUUAUCUGCAGGAGAAACCAUAGUUUAUCGUGGUGUCAUUCAGCUUGAAUGGUCAGCUGUAUAUCUUUGACUUUUUGAAUGUAACUGCUGAAAGGAAAAGACUUUCAGAGAUGUGAGCCAUGAGACAGAUCAAAAGCUUAAGGCAAUUUUGCUUUGCUAGUUCAAAUAUAUUUUUAUUGAAACAUAUUUUGUUGUCAUGCACGCAUAAAUAUUCUAUAGUAUCAGUCAAAGUGGGUGAGGUCCCAGAGUCACUGGCAUUGUUCAUAGAAAGCCAAGAAUUCAGAUAUUUCCAUAAUCUCAAAAGUGCUUUAUGUAGUUUUCUUUUUUGAACAUCUAAUUGUGCAGAAGCCAUGCUUUCCCAUAGGCUAUUUCUGUUGGAGAGCAUAGAAACAAAUCCAUGACGUGAGACUCACGGACUAAAUCUAACAGUGAUUUUAUGGAACAUAAACCCUUAUGAGAUGAUCAGAAACAUUAAGCUGAUUAUACAGGUGCAGGGCUCAAGCACUUGGGCCAUCCUCCACUGCCUCCCGGGCCACAGCAGAGAGCUGGACUGGAAGAGGAGCAACCGGGACAGAAUUUGGCACCCCAACUGGGACUAGAACCUGGAGUGCCGGUGCCGCAGGCGGAGGAUUAGCCAAAUGAGCCACGGCGCCGGCCUAAACAUUAUGUUUUCAAUAUUGCUGUUAAAAUAUUAUAGAAAAAUAGGAUAAGGUUAUAAUUUAAAGAGAGAAUUUACUUUUCUUUCCAUCAGGCACCUGGUAACACCAGCAAGCUGGGAUCAUCUUGACACACUGCAGGUAUUGAUAUGAUUUUAUGCUAACAGUGACUUCUUUUUUUUUAAGGUUUGUUCAUUUAUUUGGAAGCCAGUAUUACAGUGGGAGAAAGAUGAGGGGAGGGGGAAGACAUUUUCCGUCAAUGGGUUCACUCCCCAGAUGACUGCAAUGGCCAGGACUGGGCCAGGCAGAAGCCAGGAGCUUCAUCCAUGUCUUCCAUGUCUGUGGCAGGGACCCAAAAGCUUGAGAUAUAUUUUGCUUCUUUUCCCAGGCUAUUAGCAAGGAUCUGGGUGGGAAGUGGAACAGAUAUGACUUGAACCAAGCCUAUAAGGGAUGCUGGCAUCCCAGACAGCAGCUUUACUUGCUAUGCCACAACACCAGUCCCUAAAGAGUAGCUUCUACAAAUCCCGUAUACUUCACCACCACUUGUCUUACAAAUUACCCUUAUCAUUGGAAGUUGUGUUCCUUCAGAGUUCAAACACAACAGGAAGGUAAUGCACCUGGGAAAUCCCUUUGGCAGGCUUAGGACUCUUUCUGUUCUCUCUGUGAAAACACCACAUGGGCCAGUGCCGUGGUGCAGUAGGUUAAUCCUCUGCCUGAGGCUCCAGCAUCCCAUUUGGGUGCUGGUUCUAAUCCCGAUUGCUCCUCUUCCAAUCCAUCCACAAUCUCUGUUGUGGAUGUAGAAUAUGUUGUGCAGUAGAAGAUGGCGCAAGUGCUUGGGCUUCUGCACCCACAUGGGAAACCUUGAAGAAGCACUUGGCUCCUGUUCAGAUCGACACAGCUCCAGCCAUUGCGGACAUUUGGGGAGUGAACCAGUGGAUGGAAGACCUUUCUCUCUGUCUUUCCCUCACACUGUAACUCUACCUCUCAAAUAAAUAAAUAAAUAAAUAGUUUAAAACAACAACAACAAAAAGAAAAUACCACAAAUUCACCCACCUUUCUUUUCUAUAACUAAUGGGGAAAACUCUCCACAGAACAGGUGGAAAGUGAUCACAGGGCUGGGCUCAUUUUUCUGGUUCUUUCAUAUUCCAAGAUCCUGAUUCAGUAACUUACCAUUAUCAUGUUAGCAUUCUUAUGUCUUAAAACAAAUAUUAUGUGUGUUUUGUCUAUUUUUACUCUUACUUGAUAGAGAACGGCUUUAGAUUAUCAAGUUCACCAUUCUCUAAUUCUUUACCAUUUCUAAAACUGAAAUCAUUUUUGUGGAUCGUAUGCUCAAAAUUACAUCACUACAGUGGCAAUUUGUCUGCAUUUGGUAAUAUUUUUCAUCCCCUUCAUUUAUUUUCCCAUUCAAAUUUAAUCAAAAUACACACUAAAAGCUUUCCAAUUAUAUUAGAUUUUCUUUGAAAUACAGUAGAUAUUUCUUAGGCAUAUGAUAUACCCCCAAAUAGCUCUGGUUUUCAUGUAGGGAUCAUAGCAUCACAGUAAAAUGUCUGUUAAAUACCCACUUUCAAAGAAGCCCUAAAAAUACUAUUGUACAAAUAUUGUUCAGUAUGAUCAAUGUUUAGCAUUAUUUCUGGAAGCAAUAAUUGACAAAACUCUUUUCUGUGUACCAUGUUUUCUUAGUGUACUAUUUUAUGUUACAACUUUCAGCUGAUUUUUUUGUUAUUUUGCUCAUUCACAUGGUACAGUGAAAUGGCGUUUGAAAAUCCUGAAGAUUAAUUAUAGCAGUAGGUUUCAUGGAGUCUAAUGGAAACUCUCAUAUAGAGGCAUUUAUGAGUGCUUGAGAAAUUCAGAGAAACUUGAUAUAUCCCAGGCCCAGAGAAUUUACAACAUUAAGAGAUAUGCUUUGAUUAAUCUACAAAUUCUCUAUCUUGCUUCUCCUAACUCAGAACUCUUAGUAUGUAUGCAUAUUGGAGUCAACUAAUGCAUGCUGCCAGGUCCCUGUACUCCCCUUGCUCUCUGACAGGAAGUAUCCUUGUUUAUAUAGAUGAAUGGGACCACUGUGCCAGUUGCUCCCCAUUUCCUCAUGUUGCUCUUGGGCAUACCCACAAAGCAUCAGCUCACUUUCCUCAGUGGGCCCCUUUUGCUCUGGUCCUAUGCCUUCCCUGCUACUAACUAGCCUGAUGCUAACAUAUCCAAUGGAAGCCAAUGUCUGUGUGCAAGUUUUCAGUGUUAGUGUCCUUGAGGCAAAUUUUGGACAGUGGGGAGUACUGGUAGACAUGGUCUUCUCUCUUCUUUUAUCCCAAAAAGACGUUGCAUAUCCAAAAGCUUCUUAAAUGUGCAGCAGAGAUAUUUUGUGAAAGUGAUCAACUAGCUUAUCAUUGAACUGGAUCCAGCACAAUAAUGUAUAACCUUGUGUUUGAUCUCCUUUAUCUUUUCCUGUGUUUUUGGAUUGCACUUCUCACUAAAGUGAUAGCAAAUAUCCUUUCCCUUGGGCUCUGUUUCUAGGAAACUUGGCUAACAAAAGCCAUAUCAACAACAUAAUGAAUAUGUAAGACUGAUAUUGCUAACUUUUUAUGUCAUUAGUAAACUCAUGUACAAUACUGAUUAUGAUUUAUGCUACCUAGAAAAUUUUUUAUAAAGAUGAGUCGCCAACUGAACUUGAAGAUGAUAAUAAUAGCAAAUAUUUAGUGAGAAUUUAUGGUCUGCCAGAUGCUGUGAAAGAUGUUUUACCAAGGUUUUUUUUAGCUUUUCCAAGAGUCCAAUUGGUUGGUACAAUUAUUAUUUCAGGUGUUUUGCAUGAGUAUGUGGAAACUGUAGCUGCAAGUGGUUAAAAAGCUCAUUUAGGAUCACGAAUUAAUGUCAAAACUGGGACUCAAUUCCAGAAUGUAUGUUCUUGACUACAAACUAUACUGUCUGCCCAAAACUAUGCUUUUUAUCCUCCUAUUUCAUUUAGUUUCAUUGGUCAUGUUAUUUUUCCCUACUCUGAUACACUACAGGAAGGGCAUCUAAGGAAGGUAUGCUUUUCAAUGUCUUCUACCUACACUUUUCCCUUAAACAGACUUUUCUGAAAGGAUAUCUCUAGAAUAUUCAUGUCCUCAGUAUUUUUUUCCACAAUAUUGACAAUGCCAUCCUCACCAUUCAAGGUGAAGAAGAAAAGUCUGUAGUUAUUUCUGUGAACAAUGAAGAAACAGUAAGUUCAGAAACUAAAAAAUUGUGUGUUACUGAAUUUUGAUUUGCAAGCGUGCAAGAAAGUCCUGUGCACUGGACCUGAUUUAAGAAAGUGUGGAAAAUUCAAAAAAUCUACUCAUAUAUCAAAAGAGCAAAGGAUAUAUCAGAAAAUGAUAAAUACUAUUACUACAACUAAUAAAUAAGACAUAUGUUUUCAGGCUGAUUGUGAAAAUCAAUGAACUGAGGUAUCCUAAGGAACAACAAUGCAAAUAUAUAAUUAAAAGCAAUUCCUUGUUCAAUAACCUAACCAAUCAGCCCAAGAAAUAACAUAAUUUCACUACUUACCUAGGAUCUCCAACUUAGUUUUCCACCUCAAAUGACUUCGGUGACAUUUCUUUUAGACUUGGCAACAAUAGGAGUAAAAUAGACAAAUAGACAGUGUCCUAAAUGCCAUGAUUUUAAAAUUACAUUUCAGUUGGAUAAUAUCAGCCCUUCCUUUGACCUUCAUCUCCAAACCAAUGACACUUUACAUAUAUUUCCUUUCAUCUCAUAAGAGACAUCUUAUGCUACAAUGUGUUCUAGUCAUCAGUAAGCUUCACUCUACCAGAUUAUCAGGGAAAAUCUAGGAUUUACACAUAUUUGUAUUUACCAUGUACAUAGGCAGAGCGUGUACAUAUUUAUGAAAUUGAAUGAUAUAAAGCAGUAAGCCUAAUGAAAGGAAAAUCAAUUGGGAAAUGAAAAGUCGCUGGGUAUUUUUGAUGUAUUUGUGUAGAUUAAUAUGUAUUGGAAGGGAAUGAAUCGUUAAUGUGUUCAAAAGACUUGGACUUAAUGUUAAAACCCUCAAGCAAAGAUUUAGCAGUUCUCCCUUCUUUCAGUCCCAUUUCCUUAGACAUCCCAUCAUCAUGCACCCAAAGAAAUCGCCCUUGUUACUGAACCCUUGACUAUUCUGUCUGCCUGCCUCUGUGACAGCCAUGUCUAUGUAGCCUAGCAAAUGUAAAUUGCAGGUAUGUUUCUCUAGGUCAGAAUGAUGUCUUGGAUAAUUUGUAUGGAAAUUGCUGCAGUGAUGUAGCUCUGUUUCAGCUGAGAGGUUUCAUGUUAUGUUAGUGAUCAUUUUUCAUACUCACUGAACAAGAGUAAUUCCAUGGUGGCUUUACGAGUAGUACAGUAAUUCAUACUCAGGCGUGAAUAGUUAUUCUAAAAGGUAUGCGUUAUUUGAAUAGGUAUCUAUAUAAAAUGGCAACAUUAAAAAUAAGCAAAUUAAAACUGGCACCAACUAGCAGCAUCCAUAUAUUACCUUGACCUUGUUAGGACAUACACAAUGUUGUAGAAGAGUUUGAAGUUGUAAAGAAGCAUAAAUUAUUUUUUUAAGAUUUUUUAUUUAUUUGAAAGACAGAGUUACAGAGAAAGGUAGAGACAGAGAGAGCAGUCUUCCAUCCACUAGUUCACUCCCCAGAUGGCUGCAAUGCCUGGAGCUGGACAGAUCCAAAGCCACGAGCCAGGAGCUUCUUCCAGGUCUUCCACGCAGGUGCAGGGGCCAAAGGGCUUGGGCCAUCUUCCACUGCUUUCUCAGGCCAUAGCAGAAAGCUGGAUCAGAAGAGGAGCAGCAGGGGCUUGAACCGGUGCCCAUAGAAGCAUGAAUUCUUGAGACUUAUUCAUUUCUUGAUCAACCUUCUACCCUAGGCCACUAGCCAUAUGUCAGGAAUGAGGACUGACUAUAAAUGUACACUUUCUGUAGCUGAGAGUACCAAUCAACAGAUUUUUUUAACCUUAAAAAUGGAAUCUCAAAAGUCUGCCUAUGUCAUAAGUUUCAAUGAACUGAAAAUAGCAAGAAAGAGCACAUGAUAAUUUCUGUGACGACCUUGGUCUUUAGAAAUCCAUGUCAUCUAGCACCCUGAAUAAAUGUCUCUAUUCCUGAAGCAAUUAACAAUAUGGUUUAUUUCCCUGGUAUUUAUUACAAUGAAGAACCAGUAAGUAUUUUUUUUUUUUUUGACAGGCAGAGUGGACAGUGAGAGAGAGAGAGAGAGAGAGACAAAGGUCUUCCUUUGCCGUUGGUUCACCCUCCAAUGGCCGCCACAGCCAGUGCGCUGCUGCCGGCGCACUGCAUUGAUCGGAUGGCAGGAGCCAGGUACUUAUCCUGGUCUCCCAUGUGGGUGCAGGGCCCAAGGAGUUGGGCCAUCCUCCACUGCACUCCCUGGCCACAGCAGAGAGCUGGCCUGGAAGAGGGGCAACCGGGACAGAAUCCGGUGCCCUGAUCAGGACUAGAACCCGGUGUGCCGGCGCCACAAGGUGGAGGAUUAGCCUAGUGAGCCGCGGCGCCGGCCAAGAACCAGUAAGUAUUAAGGAAUUUGAAAGUUGGAAAAAUUUCUAGAGAGGGAAAUUGACACAUAUUAGAAGGUCGGUGUAAUGCUUAGGGGCUUGGAUUUUGGAUUUAGAGAGAGCUGUAGUUGAAUCACAAGGAGAUUCGCACUAGCUGUAUACCUUGAGCAGCAUGCUUUACACCUCUAAGAUUUAGCUUCCUCAUUUGAAAAAUGGGCUAUUUGAAUGCCAAAUGUAUGAAAUUGUUUUUGGAUUUGUGUAAAAUAAUACUGUUUCUAAAAGCAGAAUCCUUAUUUUGUAAAUAUUGCAUACUAAAUGUAUGUAUAUAGAUGUACAUAUGUAUAUAGAUGAAAUCAUAGAAGGAUUAGGAUUUACUUCAAGAUAGUAUAGAUGGGAGGAAAUGGGUGAGGGUAUAGGAAUAACUAGAUUAGCCAUGAAUUUGUAGUGUAGAAAUGAAUGACUAGAUACACGGGAGUUCAUUGUUUUUGAAAGUUUCCAUAAUAAAAUAUUAAAGUGAGAUAAAAACUAAUGCAAGCAAAGUUCUUUGUUAAGUGUUUCCCAUAUAAUAUGUGUUUAAAUAAUUAUUGUAAUGAUAAUCAUUACAAAGUAGUGGUUAAUAACAUGAGAAUACUGAGAUAAAUAUUGAUGUACACAUGUCAUUUUAAAAAUGAAUAGUUCUAACUUUUAUGUCUUUAACAGGAUAACAAUCAAGUGUGUCUCUGCUAUUUGUUGAUUGUUUUUCUGGUUUAGUUGAAACUGUAAUAAUCCUUUCAUUAUUUGAUUUUUUUUCUGGCUUAGUUGUAAUGAUAAUAAUCCUUUCAUUAUUUACCACAAAUAGAUGAAAUUCCUACUGGUAAUUACUUUUAUAUCUUGUCAUACUCGAGUCAUCUAGAAUGGGUUGAAAGAAAUGAUUAGGUGAUUUCUGAAUGUCAUGAUAGUAACAAAAUGAAAAGCACCUGCAAAUCUUUAAACAAUUAACUAUUUUGACUUGCUUUAUUAAUAAAAGGAAAUUCAAUAAUCACAUAAUGUAUUUAUAAGAUGUAUUAUAUGAUAUAAUGAAAUUGUAACAUUGUUGGCAGAAGUGUUUAAACUAAUGUUCAUUUAUUACAGUCCACCUUGCUCAUACCGAGCUUGUGUGCAACUCUAGGCCAAGCCUAGAACCAAGUCACCACUAGGGGCUUUUCAGUAUUUCAAAAUAUGUUCACUCUUCCCUUGUUGAAUGCUCAUGGAACUCUCCAAAUCACUGGAAUGACUGUUGAACAGCAUGCCUCCCUACGCCCUUGUCAGAUUUCCUGACAUGUAGUAGAUUUCUUGUGCUCUAAGACAAAAAUGAUACUGUAAAACAUAUAUUUUCUAUAGAACCUCGCAGAUCCUUCUUUUUGGAGAUUUUCACUUUUUCUCACUGAAAGUCAAGAAAAUCUCUAACACCUCGUUUCCUCCGAUGGUCAAGCUCCUUUCAGUGACUUCUGGAAGUAAUUAUCUUUGUACUUUGGAGAUGAAAGCUUAGUUAAAUAUGUGAGAGACCAAGCAGAUGUGGCAGAACGUAUUAUGCUGCACAUUGUCUCAUGUCACAGCUGUACAGCUGAUGAAGACCUUGCCGAGGAUUGUGUCAUUCAGAGAUGUUAGGAAAGAUGAUUGUUUAGAGGAAGAAAAUUAGCGUUGCUGUUAUUACAUGACCUAGUCAUGAAAUCUAGGAUACAUGUAUCCAAAAGACGUGGAUCCGUUUCUUUUCUCAAAAAUCCAUUUAAUUAAAACACAGAUACAAAACAAGCACAAUUGAAAAUAGUGCUUUAAAAAUCACCCUUUUUAAAUUUUAUUAGUUAUAAAAGUAUAUUUAUGUCAUCAGUUUCUUAGAGUAGUAUGUAGCAACACUGUGCAUAUUUACUUUAUAUUGUCAGAUUUUGAAAUUUUAUUAUUGAGUCUAUGAUAUGGUAUUUUUACACCUGACUUUUUUAUUCUUUCUAGAAAGAUUUUUUACUUAUUUAAGAAUUCUACAAGUUAGAUAUUAGUAGUGUAUAACAAGAUAGUACUUUACAUUAUUCAAGUAAAUACAUGCCUAAAAGAUUACAAGAUGAUUGCUUAAAACAGUUUAAAAAUUUUUAUUUUUUUAAACUUUCAUUUAAUAAAUAUAAAUUCCCAAAGUACAACUUUUGGAUUACAGUAGCUUUUCCCCCAAUAAUCUCCCUCCCACCCACAACCAUCCCAUCUCACACCCCCUCUCCCAUCCCAUUCUUUAUCAAGAUUCAUUUUCAAUUAUCUUUAUGUACAGAAGAUCAACUUAGUAUAUACUAAGUAAAGAUUUCACCACUUUGCACCCACACAGAUACACAAAGUAUAAAGUACUGUUUGAGUAGUAGUUUUACCAUUAAUUCACAUAGUACAACACAUUAAGGACAGAGAUCCUACAUCGGGAGUAAGUGCACAAUGACUCCCGUUGUUGAUUUCACAAUUGACACUCUUAUUUAUGACGUCAGUAAUCACCCGAGGCUCUUGUCAUGAGCUGCCAAGGCUAUGGAAGCCUCUUGAGUUCACCAACUCUGAUCUUAUUUAGUUAAGGCCAUAGUCAAAGUGGAAGUUCACUCCUCUCUUUUGAGAAAGGUACCUCCUUCUUUGAUGGCCCAUUCUUUCCACUAGGAUCUCACUCACAGAGAUCUUUCAUUUAGGUGUUUUUUUUUUUUUUUUUUUGCCACAGUGUCUUGGCUUUCCAUACCUGAGAAACUCUCAUAGGCUUUUUAGCCAGAUCUGAAUGCCUUAAGGGCUGAUUCUGAGGCCAGAGUGCUGUUUAGGACAUCUGCCAUUCUAUGAGUCUGCUGUGUAUCCCGAUUUCCAUGUUGGAUCGUUGUCUCCUUUCUAAUUCUAGCAGUUAGUAUUAGCAGGCACUAGUCUUGCUUAUGUGAUCCCUUUGACACUUAAUCCUAUCAUUUUGACCAAUUAUGAACUUAAACUGAUCACUUUGACUAACAUGGCAUUGGUACAUGCCACCUUGAUGGGACUGAAUUGGAAUCCUCUGCAACAUUUCUAGCUCUACCAUUAGGGGUAAGUCUGAGUGAGCAUGUGCCAAACUGUACAUCUCCUCCCUCUCUUACUCCCACUAUAAUAAUUAACAAGGAUCACUUUUCAGUUAAAUUUAAACACCUAAGAAUAAUUGUGUGUUAAUUAAAGAGUUCAAUCAAUGGUAUUAAGUAGAACAAACAAAUACUAAAAGGAACAAAGUAGUAAGUUGUUCCUCCACAGUCAGGACAAGGGCUGAUCAAGUAAUUGUUUCUUAUAGUGUCCAUUUCACUUCUACAGGUUUCCUUUUAGGUGCUCAGUUAGUUGUCACAGAUCAGGGAGAACACUGGGUUCUAUUUGUCCUUUGGGACUGGCUUAUUUCACUCAGCAUGUUUUCCAGAUUCCUCCAUUUUGUUGCAAAUGAGCAGAUUUCAUUUUUAACUGCUGUAUAGUAUUCUAUCUAGAGUGCAUAUCUCAUAAUUUUUUUAUCUAGUCUUCUGUUGAUGGGCAUUUAGGUUGAUUCCAUGUCUUAGCUAUUGUGAAUUGAGCUGCAAUAAACACAGAGGGUGGGUAUUGUGGAGCAGCAGGUAAAGCCACCACUUAUGAUGCCGACAUCUCAUAUUGGAGUGCCUGGUUUGAAUCCUGGUUAUUCCUCUUGCAAUCCAGCUUCCUGCUAAAGUGUAUCCUGUGAGGCAGAAGUUGAUAGCUCAAGUACUUGAGUCCCUGCCUCCCAUGUAGGAAACCAAAAUGGAGUUUCAGGCUCCUGACUUUGCUUAGUUCAACUCUGGAUAUUGUAAGCAUUUAGGGAGUGAACCAGUGGGUGGAAGAUUUCUCUCUCUCUCUCUCUCUCUCUCUCUCUUCCUCCCUACCUCUUUCUGCCUUUCAAAUAAGUAAAACAAUGAAAUGUGGGGAGCCAUUGCAUCGCGCCCUAAAGAUGGUGCCGGCUCCUUUCUCCCGGAAGGACUGGCAAGAAACAAACAACUCCUAAUAAGGAGAUGGCUGAGCUCCCUUCUGGCUUCCGCAUUGCUGUACCUAUCAAUCCUUGCCACUUGGCUGCUUUUGAUUGGUGUGCUGAUGGCUAUAAGAGGGAUGGGAGAGGGAAGGAGGCGGAAGAAGAAGCUUGUUCAAGGUUCCUGAAUAAACUGCUUGAAGAAGAGUUCGGGUAGUGUCUUCCUUGCUGGUCGAGGGACGCGACAAUGAAAUAAUACUUUAAAAGUAUAAUCCACAGUAAGGAAGAGUUCCAUAUAUACAUCUUGUAUCCUAUACUGCACAUUAAUCUUAUAUUCUAAUUGAUAAUUCAUUCCUGGUGGAAAUGAAGCCCCGCCCCCUUUUUUGGCAGGCAGAGUGGAAAGUGAGAGAGAGAGAGAGAGAGAGAGAGACAGGGAGAAAGGUCUUCCUUUUCCGUAGGUUCACCCCUCAAUGGCUGCUGUGGCCAGCGCGCUGGGGCUUGCGCACCACGCUGGUCCGAAGCCAUGAGCCAGGUGCUUCUCCUGGUCUCCCAUGCAGGUGCAGGGCCCAAGCACUUGGGCCAUCCUCCACUGCACUCCCAGGCCACAGCAGAGAGCUGGACUGGAAGAGGAGCAACUGGGACAGAAUCCGGAGCCCUGACCGGGACUAGAACCCGGUGUACCAGCGCCGCAGGUGGAGGAUUAGCCUAUUGAGCCACGGCGCUGGCCUAAACCCUUUGUUCUUACAGGACUGAAAAGAAGAAAUAAGAAACACAGAAAGUUCUUAAUAUCUACAUAAGAAGCCUUUGUUGUGUAGCUUGGGGAUCUGGUAGUCACUGUUCUAGAUGACAUUAAACUUCUGACUAAAAUAGUUGAUUCAGAACCCUGAUAGAUGUUUACAAUGGGUCUUCAAAUGUUUGCUGGGAGUGAGACUAAGCUCUAUUUUAAAGUAAGAUCAGUGGCAGUGUUUGGCCUCGUGGUUAAGACAACUAUCAGAGCAUCCGAGUUGGAUACCUGGCUCUGGUUUCUACUCAAGCCUCCUGCUAAUGCAGAUCCUGGGAGGUAGCAGUAACGGCCUAACUGAUUGAACUCCUGCCACCUAUAUGGGAAACAUGGAUUAAGUCCUGACUCCUGAGUUUAUUGUAGCUAUUUGAUGAGUUAACCAGUGGAUAGAAUCUCUCUCUCUCUUCCUCUCUCUCAUGUGAAAAAUAAAGGAAGGAAGGAAGAUCAAGUUGUGGGAAAGUUCUUGUAGCCAUGGGAAAAAAUAAUACUUCUGUUCAGUAUGUCCUUAUACAUGAUCUCUUUCACUCUAUUCUCAAAGUAAAAGGAAGGCAGGUAGGAAGAGAGGAAGGAAGAUCAAAUACCAGUGUGUACACUUAUAGGGGUGUGUGUGUGUGUGUGUGUGUGUGUAUGUAUGUGUAUUUCCAAGUGUGUGAAAAAAUGAGGAAUGCAAGCAUUAUGUUUCAGUAUGGUACAUGGGUGUAGGUUGCUAUAUUAACCUUGUUACCUGAUAAUACAUUUUUGAAAGUGUUUAUUUCUUCCUAAUUUAAUUUUCCUUAAUUGGCCUCAACAAGUUUGGGAAGUAGAUUUUAUUAUUUCUAUUUGUAGAUGAGACUCAGAAAGUCCCAUCUAAUAACUUUCCUCAAGUCACUCAAAUGGAUAGAAGGGUUAGUUUAAGAAUGGAAUAUACUGACACUAGUCCAAUUUGCUGUGUUCAUGUUAAGAUGCACACAUUUAUUAAUUCUCAUGUUUGUUAGUUAAAUCAUAAAUUUGGAGAAAGUUUGUUUUUGUUUUAUUGGUUUUUAAUUUAAAAUAGAGUAUUGGCUGCUCACAUGUUUGAUUUAGAUUUAAACAAAUCUCCCUUAUCUUAAUAUUUGCAUGAUUUGUCAGCAGUUGAAGAUUUUGUGACUUAGGAUAUUUGGCCUUUCUACCUGAGUUGGUUUAUAUUCACUUUCCCUCCUUUUCAGUUCUCUUUGUUAGAGGUACCACAUUUUCUUUCACCUGAUCAUUUUCCGACCUUCCUGAACAUUGAGCCCAAUCAGCACCUGUAUUAGAAGUCCAUCCUGAUGUUCUUCAGAAAAAAAAAUUGGUUCCUCUUUUGAGCUCAUGUAACACUAUUUAUUGUCCUUAUUCAUUUUCCUUCUUGUAAUGAUCAUUUCUAUUUCAUUUUUAUAUGUUUUCUGAUGACUAUAUUUCUAUAUCUUCCUAUAGAAUUUGUCGCUUCUGUAGAUGAUUAACUCAUAUUUGUUGCCUCAAUCUGAUAGAGAGAUAAUUGUCAAUGUACUUUAAAGAAUUACAGAAAGGCCAAUCUUUUCUCUGUUAUUAUUGUCAAAAAUUACAAGGAGACAAAUAAUCUGUAACAAAAUAACAACUAAAUUGAUAUGGCAAUUUAAAAUAUCUUUUGAUUGUUUAGUUAUAAGAUUAAUAUUCAUCUACUUUUAUAAGAUUAAGUAAAAAUUCAUCUAGACUUUACAUGGAAGUUACCCUAUUGGUACCUCAAGUUCUGGACAAUUUCUUAGCCCUGAGACAUUUAACAUGUACUACAAGUAAGCAAUUACAUUUUUUGGUAAAACUAUUAAAGUUUCAUUAUGAACACUAAUAUCAAUUUGUUUCUUUGGCUUGUGGGUAGUCAGCAGCUUGGAACAUUCCUUUCUGGAGUCUUAGACCAUCUAUGUCACCUCUUUUAGAGGAAGCAUAUCUGUACUUCUACUGAAAAAAAUGUUUUUCUUGAUAUAUUUCACUCUAGCCUGAGAUACAAAGACAGUCCAUAGAAAUUUACCAUAGAAAUUGCUAGGAUGGAAAUAAUUUUCCUUCUUUUACCAUUAUGAUCAACUGAAAUUACUCCAAACAUUGAAAAGAUUUUUUGUAGAAUAAAACUGAGAUAUUUUUGUUCAGUAGAUGUUCUAAAGUGCUAUUAAGCAAAAUGUUUAAAUGAGUAAUAUUAGUAGCAAAAUGUGAAAUAAAAUUAGUUGUGUUCACAUUUUUCCAGAAAGAGGCAAAUUUCUAAUAACUGAGGUUAAUCUAUAAAUUGUAAUUGUUAUCUUGAUUAAUGGCUGGACAUGAUACCAUGAAGGCAUAAACUAAUUUGGGGUUUAAAAACUAUUACUGGGACUGGUGCCACUUGGUCAAUCCUCUGCCUGCGGCACCGGCAUCCCAUAUGGGUGCCGGGUUCUAGUCCUGGUUGCUCCUCUUCCAGUCCAGCUCUCUGCUGUGGCCCGGGAGUGCAGUGGAGGAUGGCCCAACUCCUUGGGCCCUGCACCCACAUGGGAGACCAGGAUAAGUACCUGGCUCCUGGCUUUGGGUCAGCGCAGCACACCGGCCACAGUGGCCAUUUGGGGGGUAAACCAGCGGAAGGAAGACCUUUCUCUCUGUCUUUCUUUCACUGCCUAACUCUGCCUGUCAAAUAAAAAAAACAAAACAAAAACAAAACAGCAAAAAAAACCCUACUAUUAAAAAUUAUGGAAACAAAAAUAAGUUAUUGAAGGGCUAAAGGAGACAUAAUAUUUUGAUACUUUUUAUGGUAGUUGUUUAGUAUAUGGGAAUAUAUUUUCAAAAACGUCAAAACUGGAUGAUAAGGUUGUAAAAUUCAUUCACAACCCUGAUCAGCACGAUAAAUACAAAUUUCUUUAUGACAUCAAAUUUUGACCAUCAGAGUAGAAUAUGUUUUCCAGAGAACUCUACAUGCCUUGUUGUUAAGUGUUUAAAGUAGUAUUUUAAAAAAUGGAAGCAAACAAUAAAGUAUUGAGAUUUCAUAUUACUUAUGUGAUAUCUUAUCCAUGUAAGUAAAACUGACAGAUUUGGAAUGUAAUAAUGAAAAAUAAAACACCAUAAUCUUAAAAUGUGCCAAAAAAACCUUCUAUUGAAGGUUUGAAUAUUUAGCCCAAGGCCAUUAUGGCUUCAAAUUAUAUUAUACAAGAGGAAAAUUAGAAUGGGAAAGACUAAAAAUUUAAGUUUUUAAGCAUUAUCCAAAUUCAUGUGUACAAUAUCUUGAAUGAUUAUAUUUAAAAUGUGGAUGUAUCUUAAAGUCCCUUCCUCACUUUUGCUGUUGUGCCAACUGAAAAUAUUUGUGACUGCAUCUGGAAGAUGUAGGAAAGGGCUAGCCAUUUGAUUUAUGAGCCCUGCAAGUGGUAUGUCUAGGGCAGGGGCUUUUAGUCCCCAGUAAAGUCUUUGAAUUCAUAAACAUCUUGCAAAAUCCUAUUCACAUACACUGAAAAUGUAUUUAAUCAACAUUAGUUUGCAGGAACCAGAACAGAGUAAAAGCAGUUACUGAAUAGUUAGGGCUCAAAUACUCUGAACUCGGGAAUGUUAUGAGGUUGUGGUCUACUUGCCAGCAUUUUCCCAUUUGAACUUUCUUUCUACUGAAUUUGCCUAUUUUAGCCACAAAAGCAAAUAAUUUGCAAAAUUUGCAAAGAGUUUCUUGGGAAACGAAAUCCUAUGUUCCUAAUGGCUCAAGAAAAUUCUGGAGCUUAACUCACUAUGAUUUCUGUGUUUCAUAAAGGCAGAUUUUGCCUGGUGAAAAGUGUCACUGCCAUCAGAUACCCCAGACAUGCCUGGGUGUUAGCAGGUGCCUGUGAGUUAGCAGGUGAGGAGUCAGUGCAAGUUGGAAGUGGUUCUAUGGAUGAGGAUCCCUAUGUGGGUAGACAGUGGCUGCCUAGUAGAAAUAUUCCUAGGACCUGUGAAGUGCAACUACAAAGUUGGGUGGGGAGGAGGAGCCAGGACAGUAAGAAAAGGAAUCAUGUAGUGGCUGAGAAUUAGGUAAGGAGGUUCACAUGUGUGUAAAAUCUGACCUAAAUUCAGUGUUUGUGUGGAGAAUAAGAGAAAGAUCAAAAUUAGGACAGAUUACAUGGAGGUGACUUGCUCAAUUUCUGGGUGGUCACUUUGGUCCUUGGUGUCAUUUCCUAUGCCUCUUUUCCCUUUACUUCUUGUUGUUGUCUUUGUUCUUUAUCCUGGACGGGUAGCCACACCAACUGAGCCUUGGUUUCUCAUAUGUAUUAGUUAGGAAUUUCCUUUAUUCAUCUGUUUUAGAAACUUGGGGCAGAGUAUAAUUAUUAUGGGACCAGAAUCUGGAGGAAGGUGGAUCAGGGUUGAUAUAUGAUUCAAUUACUCCUUUUCCGUGAGACCUUGAGGAAGUUACCUGACCUCUCUGAACCUCAGCUCCUCAUCAAUGAAUUAAUGAUAAUACUAAUAUCUUCUAUAUUCUAGAAUCACCAGGGUGAUUGCCAUCAUAAACAUAUAGCACUUAAUUUAGUAGAGUGUGAAGUACACAGGGCUUGGUUAAUUAAUCAUACUUUCCUUUCCCCUUUUCUCAUCCCACAGCUGAAACAUUUAUCCAGCUCUCAAGCACUUUCUUUCUGUCUCUUCCUCCUCUGGCCCAGUGUUGAUAUUUCUGAAUGAAUUUUUCCUAGCACUUCCCUCCAUUCAUUACAGCAGCCUGCCCCUUUGUUGACAACUUCACAGCCUUGAUGGCUGUCUGCGUUAUCUUGACAACUGGCCCUCAUUUGAGUUAAGAUUUCUACUAUGUUCCAUUUAGUCUCUUCUGUGUGAGUUUAACCUUUAUUGCCCAACAACCCUUGCAAUGAUGAGGAUAUUUCAGCAGGGAAGAACUGAGAGAAAAGGAAACAAGUAAAUUUUGUAAUGGAGCCAAAAUAUCCAAAUCAGAUGUUGCAUUAUAUCUGUUCGUUCUGAAGAGCAAAGAUGGAGAAGAAACUUUGAUAAGAACACACUUAAAGCUAAAACUGUGUGGGGAAAAUGAAGUCCUCUUCAAUCCUGAAGUUUGAAGAGAUUAAAAAUACCUGCAGUCUAUGGCCAUGCCACCCUUUAUACUCCCAAUCUCAUCUGAUCUUGGAAAAAUAACUACAUUAACAUGAAGCUAUGGCAGAGGACGGGGCAAAAGGAAAGUGAAGAGGAAAGAGUGGAAGAAUUAUGUGCGAUGCCUGGGACAGGAAAAGUUAGCUGCCCUAACAGGAUGGACGUAGGGUUAGUUUUUCCUAUUGAACUGAGUGGAGUAUCUCAUGAAGACACCAUAAAGGCAAGUGAGCUUCUUUAUGUCCAACUUCCUAGGGGCUGCGUCUUGGAUCAUCCAGUUUUUGGUCAGAUUUAUGUAGUAAUAACGUUUGCCUUACCAUUAACCACAGAAUGAGGCUGUGAAUACACUUAGAAUUUCAUGAGUUAUCCAGACCAGUUACAGUUUUAUUCCAGGUAGUUGGUAACUAUCAAUUUAGUUUACAAUACAUUCAAUGAGGGGCUGGUGCUGUAGCGCAGUAGGUUAAUCCUCUGGCCUGUGGUGCCAGCAUCCCAUAUGGGAACCGGGUUCUAGUCCCGGCUGCUCCUCUUCCUAUCCAGCUCUCUGCGGUGGCUUGGGAAAGCAGUGGAAGAUGGCCCAAGUCCUUGGGCCCCUGCACCAGUGUGGGAGACGUGGAAGAAGCUCCUGGCUCCUGGCUCCUGGCUCCUGGCUUCAGAUCAGCAUAGCUCCGGCUGUUGCAGCCAUUUGGGAGUGAACCAGUGGAAGAAAGACCUUUCUCUCUGUCUCUCCCUCUCACUGUCUGUUACUCUACUUCUCAAAUAAAUAAAAAAAGAACAAUACAUUCAAUGAGGCAACAAUGUUACUGAUAAAACAAAUAAAACAGUGCUAGAGAAGAUAUCAGAAUAAAGCGUGCAUUUUAAUUGAGCUCAGCCAAAGAAACAAGAGAAAGCUGUGGUGAGGAAAUACUUUUGUAAUACUUCCUUCUAACCUUUUAUUGAUGUCAUUCAGAAAGAAGCUUAGUAUAUUAGACAAUUAGCCUGAUGCAAAGAUUUGUAGGGAAAAAACUGAUUUUUUUUUUCCUCAGGGGAAAACUAGGGAGCAAAGAAAAGCAAGCAAGUUUGUAUCAGAAAGAAAAACAUAGAAAUGAGGUUUUAUAUCAAUUUACUCUGAAAGAUAGAAAAGAACAAGCUUAAACGUAAAAUUGAGAUUCAAGCAUUUGAUGCAGAAGCUGAAAUGUUGCUGGGGAUGCCUGCAUCCCAAAUUGGGGUGCCUGAGUCUGAGCCCCAACUUUGCUUCCAAUUCCAGCUUUCUGCUAAUGCAUACCCUCAAAGACAGCAGGUGACGACUCCAUGCCUGGACUCCUGCCUUACACUGCCUUCCUGCUGCAGGCAACUGGGGAGUGGUCCAGCACUGGCAGAUCUCUGUCUCUCUUUCUCUGCCUUCCAAAUAACAUGACAAUAAAGAAAUAAAAUUUUUUUUAAAAUGCAGAAUCAGAAAAAAGUAAAUUAUUUAUUAAUGCUGAUGGUUGAGGGUUGAGAAUAACCAGAGUAAUUAUGACAGACAUAUGCUGGAAAGGAAGCAAGAGAAACAUAGGGGAGAAAAAAGGUAGCUGAACAAGGAGUACUGUCUCAAAGAAAGCAAAAGUCAGAUGUCAUUAAUUUUAGUAAAUGCUCAGUGUCUUUAGAUAAGAUUAAACAAAUUCCUAAAUGCUAUUUUCGUUAACAGAAAUAUAGCAAAUUAAAAAUCAAGUCAUUUUUUCUAAUUUAAAGAUUCUAUUAUAAUUACGAGAAAAUUUACCAUUGUUUAAUUUUGUCAUUGAAUAUAUUUUCCCUAACAGAGCUUUUUAGUGCUGUCUUCUACAAAUUUCUUAUGCAGAUAUUUUUUUCCAGUGCAAAAAGUCAUAUUGUUGUACAUGGACAAACCACUUUCUAAUGUUCUUUAACCUUAUGCCUUUUAGACUUGCCUCUCCAAAAAGAUAUAUUUGAGUAAGUGGCCCAUUAGCAUCACAUAGAGGAAGGCUCUCAGUUUUUUUCUGUAACUACUGAACCCCUUGUUAGACAUCUCUGGAGUUUGUACUGAUAUAACAACCAUGAGGCUUUUCAGCAAAUGGCAACUCCAAAUCAGCGCCAGUUCCAACAUUCAAUCAUCCAACCCACGCUUGCAGCAGACAUUGUUUACAUAGAGGAAUCAACAGAGUAAAUUUAGAAUAUCCUAGAAUAAAUUAUGAUAAAUUUCCUGCUUCAGCAUGAUAACUUAAUGGAUCAGACACUAUCUCCCAAAGAGAGGAGGAACUGAUGAGCAUUCUUCGCAGGGAGUAAUUAUGAGAGAACUCUGUGGUUACAAAAUUGAAAUUAGAAUAUUUUCAACCAGUUUUCCAUUUUUUAAAUCCAGAGUUCAUGUUUUAAGAGUUAAGAAAAAUUGUAGCCUUUUGUAGGUCAACGAGUAAACUGUUUAUAGGAAGAGAGUAGCACGGUCUUACUGGAAAGAUGAUUCCUUUCUGGUAUUCUUCGUGCCCUCCCCCUCCCCCGAGUGACCUACUGAUCUCCAGAAAAAUUGUGAAGAAUAUGCCAGAUAUGCAAUUCCUAAAGUCUUUUUUCUCUGCAGUUGGGGUGACUGGAUAAUAUCUUAGCAAAUCUAUCAAAGAUUUUUUUUUGUUCUCUUUUUGGGAUUUUAUUUCCACAUGUGAGACUGAGUAGUCUGUAUGGGAUUCAUGACUCACCUUUGACUUAGAAAUCUGCACCAGGAGCCUCUAUUGAGUAAAAUAGCAGCCCAACAGAUAGAACUAGUUCAUUCCUAUUGCCAUCCCUCUCUGCCCUUUUCAAUCCCCAUCAUUUUAGUUUAACAGUUUCAUUUCUCACACUAAUGUAUGUAUCUAUUUGAUCAUGGAUGACGUUUUCAAGGUGCAUAUUUUCCAUAGCUGAGUUCUUGCUUUUGUGUUGCUCUUUUCUUGUGUGUAUGUGUAUGUGUUUGUGUGUGUGUGUGGGGGGGUGGGUGUGUGCUUAAAGAUUGCAAUCAUGGAACAAUGCUUGUCCUAUUUUCCAUUCUUAGUACCUCAAAUUCCAAAUUUGGAAUAGAGUAGAUGGGAAUAAAGCCAAUAUUGAUAAAGCAUAUGCUGUGAUAAUAAAUACAGUCAUCCAGUUUAGAAAUUACAACCCUGGCUGCUGCUUUUGGGAACUCCAUGAGCAUGAGAUAUUUCCUUUUAUGACUGGGGCAGUAGUUUAACAUACUGGUUAGAAAAUCCAGUUCUGGACUCAGAUAGAACUGGAGUUUCUCUCCACACCCCCCCCCCCCCCCCCAUGAGGGAGAAAUUAUUCCAUCUCUCUCAUGAGGGGAGAGAGAGAUAGGCAGGCAGACACAGAGAGAGUAUAUAUCUGCUGAUACACUCCUUAAAUACCCACAACACCUUUGGUUGAAACUAAAACCAGGAGCCAGUAAUCCACUCCAGGUCUCCCACAGGGUAGCAAGAAUUUUCAGUGUUGCACUAACCUUUAGUUAUUCACAUAUUUAAUUCAUCACUUACUCACCACUCCAAAAAGUACUAUAGACAAGUAUAUCAUGUUCAGAAAAAGUGAUUCUUUCAA
Oryctolagus cuniculus (rabbit) is the source of this 20970-nucleotide non-coding RNA. Lineage: Eukaryota; Metazoa; Chordata; Mammalia; Lagomorpha; Leporidae. The record is from RefSeq and is a predicted model, not a curated record.